This 29-nucleotide non-coding RNA is filed under the name Rattus norvegicus (Norway rat). The record is from RNAcentral. Lineage: Eukaryota; Metazoa; Chordata; Mammalia; Rodentia; Muridae.
UUCCAUAGAGAAUGUCUGCAGGCUGAAUC